CCCUUAGAUGUUCUGGGCCGCACGCGCGCUACACUGACGGAGUCAACGAGUUGUCCUGCAUCGGAAGGUGUGGGUAAUCUUUUGAAACUUCGUCGUGCUGGGGAUAGAUCUUUGCAAUUUUCGAUCUUGAACGAGGAAUUCCUAGUAAGCGUGAUUCAUCAGAUCGCGUUGAUUACGUCCCUGCCCUUUGUACACACCGCCCGUCGCUACUACCGAUUGAAUGGUUUAGUGAGGCCUCGGGACUGGCGCGCUCGAGUAGCAAUACACCUGCGCGCCGGGAACUUGGUCAAACUUGAUCAUUUAGAGGAAGUAAAANUCGUAACA
Molecule: ribosomal RNA, 324 nt
Filed under: uncultured eukaryote
Lineage: Eukaryota
Description: partial 18S ribosomal RNA
Rfam family: Eukaryotic small subunit ribosomal RNA
Source: RNAcentral